UUCUGAAACGUCGGUAAAAACGUUAUUGAGUUUGCUUCUCGAUAGAAUAGAAUAGAAGGAAUAGAACUGCUUUAUCAAAAUCAACAUGAAUUUGUCAGAAAACCAAGUUAGUAAUGCAUUACCUUUCUAUAUAUUCGGCAUUUGAAUUUUCAUCUCUUAAUACUAAUAUUUCGAGAACGUAAUUGCGUAUAUCUGUGACAACGUUACAACAACGUUGCAAAUUAACGUUGUGAUAACGUUGUGCUUUGGACAUUACAGUACUUUUUGUAAAUGAUGUUUAGGAAACCACUUGUAGAUCUACCAUCUCUUAGUGUUAUUUUUUUUUAAACAUAUAUAUCUAUUAACGAACUAAAUGUUGUCACAAGCAAUAUUACAGUUAAAAACAAUUGGCGCGUAUUUUUUGCGGCGUGAGAGCGACUGCAGAAAAGUUUAGCCUGUUGCCUCGUGAAGUGACGUCAGAAUGACGUCACAUUGUCGCGGAAGAUUUGUUGUCACCAGCCAUCUUAGCUCAAACUCACUCUGGACAUAAUAUAUUACAAGCAAGUGAUUGUGCAGCAACUGGAACUGGACAGAUGAUCUGUGAAUUCGAUUGAGGUGGAGAAAACAGUAUUGUGGGAGCGUAUUUGUUUAAAGUACAUAUCACUGACAGAAAGUUACCAAGGCAUAAGGAGAGACUGAGGAUACAGUUGAAGAUCAUCCCUGUGACUUUUCAUUUGAGGACUGAAAAGGCUCCCCAGCAACUCAGCCCAUGUUCUGACUUGUCAUUUAACAAAUAAAUAAAGGUCACCUCAA
This 792-nucleotide long non-coding RNA is filed under the name Haliotis rufescens (red abalone). Its description in RNAcentral is "uncharacterized LOC125372527, transcript variant X1". Lineage: Eukaryota; Metazoa; Mollusca; Gastropoda; Lepetellida; Haliotidae. The record is from RNAcentral.